Molecule: long non-coding RNA, 296 nt
Filed under: Gopherus agassizii (Agassiz's desert tortoise)
Lineage: Eukaryota; Metazoa; Chordata; Testudines; Testudinidae
Description: lncRNA (ENSGAGG00000021243.1)
Source: RNAcentral
CCCGCCAGGCUCAGAAGACUUAUGUCAGGAAUGGCUCCAGGAGUUCUGGUGGCAGUCUCCCCUGCUAGCACUGGACCAGUAAAGAAGGUGCAUCCAUGGAGUAAGGCUAAGGAGAUUAUAAACUCAUCAGCCAGAUAGGGAGCGUAUUGUCUUCCAUGGUUGUAGCCUAAUAUACUACAUAUAAUGCAGUGUACACACGUUUGAAGAAUGUUGCUUUUACACACAUCAUGGCUGGCUCCAGGCAGUAUUCCUUUGAAAUGGGUUUCUGAGUUGGAUAAUAAACACUCGGACUGGAG